GAGAGCGGUUUAAAGGAAAGACCUUCAGGGAUGGGAAUAUGAAUAAUGAGAUGUUCAGUUUAAUUAACAGCGCAGCUCUUCAGAAGAAUACAAAUGACAUCACACACACACACACAUACACACACACACUUUGGCGUCCUUCAGUCGGGAGAGGAGACAGAAUUGAUGGCGCAGUCUGACCGAAUAAAAGUGGAGACAGAGUUGGCCUAGACUUCCUUAGUCCCAGCCACAGAUUCCAGCUCCUCCUGGGGCAUUCCCCAAUAUUCCCAAGCCAACUAUAUGAUAUAAUCCUUCCAGAUGUUCCUUGGUGUUCCCUGUGGGGCAUGCCUAAUACAAUCUCUAAUCUCUAGCUGGAACCAACCAGGGCCUUCCUUGUAAGGUACCCAAACCACCUCAACUGGCUCCUCUCGAAUGUAAGGAGCAGCAGCUGUACUCCAAGGUUCUCCUGGAUUGUUGAGCUCCUUACCUUAUUGCGCAAAUCCAGUUCCUGGAUGCAUGGAUGGAUGGAUGGGUCAAUAAAUGAGGAACUGGAUGGACUGGUGGAUUGAUAGAUAGUCGGAUGGGUGAAUCAAUGAAUAAAGUGAAAGAAAAGAUCCUAUCCAUCUCUCCUGGUCCUCCUGCCAAAUGUAAUUGAAAGCACAGCUGCUUCACAUGGACACAGGUGCUUUCAUUUUUUCGUUACGAGAUGGAAUAAGAAUGAAAUGAAGGUCAAACCCAAUGAGAAGGGCUACGUCCCAAACCACACAGUGUAGUACUACAUAGUGUGUCACAAUAAAACACCAACAAUAGUACAGACUAUUUAUGAGCAGUGUGCCAUUUGGGAAGUAGUUUCAUGUUCGCAGGUGUUGUCGAGAUUAGACUAAUUAUCUACAGAUUUGAUCUACUGAAGGUUCUAAUGGUACGUCAUGUGGUAAUGUGGUUUUGAAGUUCUAAGAAUUGCGGCCCAAACAUUCUUAGAUCUCAUUGAUAAUGCAUAGAGAUCACUCUCCAGCUGGCAUGACACACACACACACACACACACACACACACACACACACACACACACACAUAGGCCACCAUCCAACGCCACAGCUGGGUAUGUUUCAAUCAUGAGGACACACACACAACCACGUCAAACACUUUGAUUUCAGUCCAGACUUCAUCACCUUAUUAAAAUAAGGUCUCGUUAGUGUGGGUGUGUUAAUUUUACAUACUAGAAAUAACACAAGGUCACAUGCUCAGGCUUUUGGUGCUUGGACCCGGAUCUUUAAAUGGAUAAGUUUCUCAUUCUCUCAUGUUGUACGAGAUUCUGUCCAUCAUAAACUAUAGACUCGUUUAUCUAAACAUGAGGCUAGUUGAUAAGUAGGGUUUACCGAAACAAGCUAAAAAUUAGGCUAGUCAUCUGACGACAUGUAAGGUUUAGCGGAAUACACAAUGUUACUUAUUGGGGUUUAGCUAAAUGAGGUUAUAUGAUGUUCUUGGGUACGAGGUUUAGAUGGAUUGUGGAGCUAGUUGAUGAGUAGGUUUUAGCUAAAUAAGGUUAUUUGACAUGAUGUUAGAUUUAGCUAGGUUUAGCCAAAAGGGGUUAAAUGAGGUUAAUUACUAAAUUAUAUUUAGAUAAAUUGGGUUAUAUAAGGCAUAUUAUUAGCUGAUGUUUAGCUUAAUGAGGUUAUACAAGCCAAUGGGUAUGAAGUUGAGGUUGAGAUCUGAGUCUUAGCUAAAAAAAAAAAACUAUAAUGCUAAUUGAUAAGUCAGGCUGAGUCUUUACAUAAGGCAAAGUAACAACUGAGUUUUAGCUACGUAAGGUUAUAUGAAGCAAACUAAAAAAUAAGGUUUAGCAAUUUGUGUUAUGAGGCAUAUUAAUAACUGAUCUUUAGCUAAAUGAGGUUAUAUGUUGCUAAUUGAGCUUAAAUUGAGCUACAUGAAGCUAAAUGGCAUUGAAGACUCUAAGCUACGUGUGUGAGGUUACUGUUUUACACUCUGUUGUUUUAUGAAGCCUUUCCUUCGCUUGAUACAUG
Long non-coding RNA from Pangasianodon hypophthalmus (striped catfish), 1997 nucleotides. RefSeq lists it as uncharacterized. NCBI's taxonomy places the organism in Eukaryota, Metazoa, Chordata, Actinopteri, Siluriformes, Pangasiidae. The record is from RefSeq and is a predicted model, not a curated record. The transcript has 4 exons.